UAUCAAAGCUUAUCGCGCCAAAAUGGAAAUUAUUAGUAUGUAAAAUUAAAUAUGUGUUACUAAGUUGAUGAAAGUAAGAUACUAACGCGAAGAAUGUCUUUAUCUAUCCCAACUACCAACAGUAGAGCUAAUUUCGUUGUAAAAAUCGUUCUAAUAUACGAAGAACAUGGCAAUAAUUAUAAUCAGAAAUGAACUAAUAAUCAUCAAGCCUAUUUGUAGACUUUACGAAACCCCAAGAUAUUAAUCUCACCAUCAUCAUCAGCACGACGUGAAGAAGAUGAUGGGGCAGUCGUUUAACAACUAUAAGCACAGUUUUGAAACACAGCCCACGCUCAAAAGACAAGCUUCAGAAUCCCAACACACUACUUGUAUGUGCUUUAUUAGACCUACUUACCACACUAAUUUACACAAAUGACGAUGCAAGCUUUACCGAGCUAAGGAAAGCACUCCAACUUUUUCAAAAUGUAAAAAUUAUUGACAAUACUAUUUUUAAGUAUAAUAUCACUA
Long non-coding RNA from Bactrocera neohumeralis, 507 nucleotides. RefSeq lists it as uncharacterized. NCBI's taxonomy places the organism in Eukaryota, Metazoa, Arthropoda, Insecta, Diptera, Tephritidae. The record is from RefSeq and is a predicted model, not a curated record. The transcript has 2 exons.